This 630-nucleotide ribosomal RNA is filed under the name uncultured bacterium. Its description in RNAcentral is "partial 16S ribosomal RNA". It matches the Rfam family "Bacterial small subunit ribosomal RNA", at positions 17 to 658 of the family's 1533-position model. The record is from RNAcentral.
CAUUNGUUCAACUGACCCACGGACGNCNCCAUGCCCUCGAGGGGCAGCAGGCUGGUACUUCGNUACUGGUGCUGGCGACCGGCGGACGGGUGAGUAACGCGUAUGCAACCUACCUUUCACCGGGGGAUAGCUUUCGGAAACGGAAAUUAAUACCCCAUAAUAUAUCAAUAAGGCAUCUUAAUGAUAUUAAAACCACGGUGGUAAAAUAUGNNCAUGCGUAACAUUAGUUAGUUGGUGAGGUAACGGCUCACCAAGGCGACGAUGUUUAGGGGACCUGAGAGGGNGAUCCCCCACACUGGUACUGAGACACGGACCAGACUCCUACGGGAGGCAGCAGUGAGGAAUAUUGGUCAAUGGACGGAAGUCUGAACCAGCCAUUCCGCGUGCAGGAANACGGCCCUAUGGGUUGUAAACUGCUUUUCUGAGGGAAGAAUAACCCCGAGUUCUCGGGGGACACGGUCCUUANGAAUAACAUCGGCUACUCCGUGCCACCAGCCGCGGUAUACNGANGAUGCAACGUUAUCCGAAUUAUGGGGUUUAAAGGGGGCUAGGCGACUAUAAUNAGNGGGAAAUUUCCGGUCACCCGGAAUUCCNUGAACUGNACUUAAUNNGUAGGAGCNGAAUNUAUNC